GCAGAGUAUGAUAGCAAGGAGUUGGGGGAAAUUCUGCCGUUUGAUUGCAAAUAUGCGCAGGGAGUCAAAGAUAUCACACAGAAGGCUGUUGUAUAAAACACCUGUCUUCGGAUUACAUCUUCAAACUACAGUGGUCCAUCAAUUAAAAGAUCUGAGAUUAUGCCGCGAGACAUAGAGGUAAUUUGUGGUUUAGUAUGUUACCCUGCGUCAAUGCUUCAUUGCUCCAGCACUGAUUAUGCUUUCAGGUACAGUGUAAAGCAUUGGUCCCAAGGCGCUAAUGUGUCUCUCACUGAAUGAAUGCUGUCAAUGAAUGGGCAAUACAAACCAAAUAGAAACUGAUAAUUGUGCACGACUUCACAAUUGGAUUUGAAUUAACUGAAUGAUGAGGAUGAAGAAGAAGAGGGUGAUUGAAUUUAGAACAAUGGUGUAAAAAUUGCUAUUCCUCUGUUCUGCACGCACACCCGAAAAAUUCCAGGUAUUUGUUUGUUUAUACUUCGUCAGAAGAAACUGUAACUGGACUGUAGCAUAUUACUUACUAGAGGUCGACCGAUUAUGAUUUUUCAACGCCGAUACCGAUUUAUUGGAAGACCAAAAAAGCCGAUACCGAUUAAUCUGCCGAUUUAAAAAAAAAAUGUACUAAUAAAUUUAAGAAAUGUAUUUGUAAUAAUGACAAUUACAACAAGACUGAAUGAACACUUAUUUUAACUUAAUAUAAUAUAUCAAUAAAAUCAAUUUAGCCUCAAGUAAAUAAUGAAACAUGUUCAAUUUGGUUUAAAUAAUGCAAAAACAAAUGUACAGGUGCAGUAAUCUGUGAGCUGCUCUGACAGCUGGUGCUUAAAGCUAGUGAGGGAGAUAAGUGUUUCCAGUUUCAGAGAUUUUUGUAGUUCGUUCCAGUCAUUGGCAGCAGAGAACUGGAAGGAGAGGCGGCCAAAGAAAGAAUUUGUUUUGGGGGUGACCAGAGAGAGAUACCUGCUGGCGCGCGUGCUACAGGUGGGUGAUGCUAUGGUGACCAGCGAGCUGAGAUAAGGGGGGGACUUUACCUAGCAGGGUCUUGUAGAUGACAUGGAGCCAGUGGGUUUGGCGACGAGUAUGAAGUGAGGGCCAGCCAAUGAGAGGGUACAGUUCGCAAUGGUGGGUAGUAUAUGGGGCUUUGGUGACAAAACGGAUGGCACUGUGAUAGACUGCAUCCAAUUUGUUGAGUAGGGUAUUGGGGGCUAUUUUGUAAAUGACAUCGCCGAAGUCGAGGAUUG
Molecule: long non-coding RNA, 1250 nt
Organism: Oncorhynchus tshawytscha (Chinook salmon)
Lineage: Eukaryota; Metazoa; Chordata; Actinopteri; Salmoniformes; Salmonidae
Source: Ensembl